AAUCACUCCACUGACUUUGAUUGUUGCUCUUAAAAUUACAUGUAUUAUUUUUGCAUUUUUGCAGUUAAACAGGCAUUGGUUUCCGCUAUUUUUAUGAUUAUCAGUUUGUCUCGUGUUAUAAGCCAUUACCUUGAUAUCUCUAGGUCUGAAGUUUUUUUAUUAAUAUUACUUAGAUUUAACUGGCUAUGUGACUAUGUAAACUGUUGUACUUUAUUACUUCUGAAAAACUCUUGGUGAAUGCAUCUCUUAAUGAUAUAUCUGAAUAAUUAAUGUUUUUGUCCUUCUACAACCCCAUUUCUCAUUUUAUCCUCUCCUCCAGGUCUCUUAAGAGCUUGUUCAUAUUUUCAUUUACUUAAAAAAAAAAAUCUCUGAUGCAUCCUGCAUAAUUUCUGUAGACUUAUCUAAUGGUUUACUAUUAUCUCCCAAUAUAUCAACUUGUAGUUAAACUGAUACAUUAAAUUUUACAUGUCUAUUACUUUAUUUUAUUUAUAAAGCCUAUUUUAGUUAUUUUGAAAAUUGUUACUUGUGUGUUCAAGUUCCUAUUAUUUCUGAACCAUUUGAAUUAUGUGUCUGGCAAUUCCUUUAUCUGAAGUCUUUUUCAAAUAUUCCUUUGCUGUUUGCUGCUGGUUAUUUUGUAAUUUUGUAAUUAUGUAUAUUUUGUAAUUUUUAUUUGUGUGUGUAUGUGUGUUUGUGCAUGUGUGUAUGUGUGCGUGUGUGUGUGAGAGAGAGAGAUUAAUUUCUUAAUUUCCCUAGAACUUUAUAUAUUGGUAAUUUGUGAGUCCUAAGAUUCAUGAGACAUCAUCCUGAGAAAAUCUGUAUUUAUUCUGUUAUACUAUUUAUCAAGACACUAAAGUUCUAGGACCAUUUUUAACAAAAGUAUCAGUUCAAUGGUUUUCAGAACAUACAAUGUGAUGCUUAUUUCUAGUUCCCACUGCACUGAUGACGUAUCUGUCUGAAUGAGCCAGUUUAACGUGGUUGUUCUCUUAUUAAAUUUCUUUUUUCAUUUUUUUUGAUAGGCCUUGGGCUCGCCUAGAUCAUGAAAAUCAGAAUCUAUGGUUUACCUUUAUUAGGAAACACUUGGAAGGCAAAAGGAGGUUUAUAGGUAAUUGAGAUGCUAAGAGUUUGAGCAAAAUAAACCAUUUGUUAUUAUGCUAAAUAGCCAAAUAGUAAACUUUGACAAUUGCUGAUGUUAGCAUUUAUGUAUAAAGGCAGUAAAAUGCAUAACUGUAAAAGAACUGUCAUUAUCUUAAUAUUUACAUUAAUAAUUAUUAUUUUCUCAGUUUAUAUAGAAUGUGCAAAUUAUUACUUUUUCAUGGCAAGUAGGGAGUAGUAAAGCAGCAGUUUAGAACACAAAACAGUAGGACUUAGCAUAGAAUUUUCUUAAAUUUCUACGAAUUAGGACACAAUAGCAUCUCUCUCUAUAAAGAAGCAUGGAAUUAAUUUCCUCAGAGUAAUGGAUUACUGGAAGCUAUUUUCUUAUUAUAUUAGUGAGAAGCAAAGCUAUUUAAACAAAACACUUGAUGGAGUUUUGUUUUAAAUAAAUUGUGUCAAUGAAGCAACUGAACGUUUUUUAAAACAACACUAAUAGCUGAAAAUCAGAAGCCCUCUUCAAAUGGGUCAAGAAUGAUAUAAAAAACCUAAAAGAGCAUUAACAUUAACAGGGCAGUUUAUGGAAAAGUUGAAGAUUAAUAGUAUCAGGAUAAUAGAGUCUCUAGGUCACACUUAACUAAGACCUUUUAUAAGAUCUUUUCUAGGUAACAAGAAGAAGUUAAUAAUAAUUUUUAUAUUCAUGUUGUACAUAAAUUAAUUAUAUCUUAAAUUUUGUUUGUCUCCAAUAUUUCUGAUUCAAUAAUUCUUAUAUUCUUCCUUCAUAAUAUCUUAGGUAAAAAAUCACUUCCCAGGUUAAAGAUAUUUCAAUGAUACCGAUAUUUAGUGAGACUAUAAAUUUAUUUGGUAACCUAAAAUUGGUGUAUUAUUUCCCUUUAAUUGCAUUUGUGCAUGCAUGUAUAUCUAUAUACACCAGUUUAUGAAUCCUCACUCUGGAUAUUAAAACAGGAUGAUUUCCUCCUGAUAAUUAUAGUCUAGGCAUUGGUACAGCCUAACCUCUCCCUUAUAGAAUAUGGCUUCAGUGAAGAUCCAAGUGUUGUAUCUGCAACACAUCAUCUACCUAAUAAAUGGCAGAGCCUUCACUGAGAUUUAUAUAUUUUGUGUCUUGGUCCAGUCAUUACAUGUGAUGCCACACCACAAUAUUUUAUAAGCUUUAAAGAUUUGUUUGAUGGUGGAAAACAACACAAUGACACUUAGAUAAAAAGCAGAAUUUGUGCUACUUAGAGUUCCAAAAGAGAGAAGGCUGCCAGGCAGUAUCUCACAGGGGCUUGCAUGGAGGGACAGGGCAACAGCAACCUGGAGCUGUAGGGGCAGCCUAUCUAUGGCAAAUAGGGUGGGGUUAGCUAGGUUCCUGUGGGGCUUUUUGUGGAUUUAUCUAAUUUGGAUAAUGUCCCACUCUCAGGCACACAGAGGCUAUUUCUGAGUGUCUGGUAUGUGGCCCUAGGGGUGAUGAAGGUGGGUGUAUAGGGGUCCUGAAGUGUGAAAGCCUGAGAAGGGAAGGUAUUGGAGGGGGAACUUAAUUGGCUACUCAGGAGGGACAUUGACUGGCAGCCACUAGUUAGGGCUUCAAAUCUGGGUCAAGAUAGUAUUUUUUUAAAAAACUGGAUUAUACACAAUGUAUUUUUUUAAACAAUUUAAUGUGUAAG
This 2753-nucleotide long non-coding RNA is filed under the name Homo sapiens (human). RNAcentral describes it as "long non-coding RNA NONHSAT165779.1". The record is from RNAcentral. Lineage: Eukaryota; Metazoa; Chordata; Mammalia; Primates; Hominidae.